UCCUCCUUGUGCCUGUCCCCUCACCCUCUGCAGGGUGCAGAGACCCGACCUGCUCAGUGCAGUGAUGCAGAGACCUGGACAGCUCAGUGCAGUGAUGCAGAGCCCCAACCUGCUCCAUGCAAUGCUGCAGAGACCCGACCUGCUCGGUGCAGCAAUGCAGAGCCCCGACCUGCUCCAUGCAAUGGUGCAGAGCCCUGACCUGCUCAGUGCAGCGAUGCAGAGACCUGAGCAGCUCAGCGCAGCAGUGCAGAGCCCCAACAUGCUCUGUGCAAUGGUGCAGAGACCUGACCCGCUCAGUGCAGCAAUGCAGAGCCCCAACCUGCUCCGUGCAUCACUGCAGAGACCUGACCUGCUCGGUGCAGUGAUGCAGAGCCCCAACCUGCUCCAUGCAAUGGUGCCGAGACCUGAAGAGCUCAGUGCAGUGAUGCAGAGACCUGAACCACUUGAUGCAGCGAUGCAGAGACCUGAACAGCUCAGUGCAGCAGUGCAGAGCCCCGACCUGCUCCAUGCAUUGGUGCUGAGACCUGAACAGCUCAGUGCAUCACUGCAGAGCCCCAACCUGCUCCGUGCAAUGCUGCAGAGACCUGAACUGCUCGGUGCAUCACUGCUGAGACCUGAUACACUCAGUGCAGUGAUGCAGAGCCCAACACAUCAAGCGCAGCAAUGCAGAGACCUGACCCUGCUCAGCGCAGCAAUGCAGAGCCCUGACACACUCAGUGCAGCAAUGCAGAGCCCCAACACGCUCAGUGCAGUGAUGCAGAGACCCAACACACUCAGCACAGUGGUGCAGAGCCCCGACACACUCAGCACAGUGGUGCAGACCCCCGACCCUCUCUCGGUGCAGAGGCCCCCCCGAGGCUCUGAGCCCGUUUUAUGGCCUCCGGCUCCGGCCCUCGCCACGGUCACGCAGUGCCACCGCGUGGGGACGGCCACGCACAGCACAGGCUCCCCCACGCUGGCACCCAUGGGUGGGAUAACCAAAAAAAAAAGCCCCAACGGGGUGGGGGGGGUUGGGGUUUUGUGCUGCAAACACCGGCCCCAUGGAGGGGAUGGGGCAGUGCCUAUAGGGCCGGCUGUCCCCAUGUCCCCAUGUCCCCGUGUCCCCUGGGUAUGGGGACAAGGCCCCGGUGCUGGCAGACGCCCAGGAUUGGGGGGGGGGGGGGGUUCCCCUCUGGGGUGGCAGCUUCACCCCGGGGGCAUCAGGCAGCCAGGGGAUGGGGAGACCCCAUA
Molecule: long non-coding RNA, 1230 nt
Filed under: Anas platyrhynchos platyrhynchos (common mallard)
Lineage: Eukaryota; Metazoa; Chordata; Aves; Anseriformes; Anatidae
Description: lncRNA (ENSAPLG00000018382.1)
Source: RNAcentral